This is a small nuclear RNA of Callorhinus ursinus (northern fur seal), 108 nucleotides long. NCBI's taxonomy places the organism in Eukaryota, Metazoa, Chordata, Mammalia, Carnivora, Otariidae. The record is from RefSeq and is a predicted model, not a curated record.
CUGCUCGCUUCGGCAGCACAUAUACCAAAAUUGGAGCGAUUACAGACAAGAUCAGCACGGCCCCUGCACAAGGAUGACAUGCAAAUUUGUGAAGCACUCCGUAUUUUU